CGAUCUUGAAAUUCCAGAUCUAGAAGAUGAUACGGAUCAAGCAUUGUCAAACGAAACAGAUGAUUGUGAUAAUGAAAUUGAAAACAUAAAGCCUGCAGACGAUAAAUUUCCUCCAAUUAAUAGAAAAAGCUCCAGUCGUUCUACAUUUGCAAAUGCUGAAUAUACUACGACCCUUGCAAAUAAUGAGAAUACUAUUUCUCUUACAAAUCCACAGGUAAAAAAGGGCCGAGUGCUAAUUCCCUGGACAAAAGAACAAAAACGAUUUGCCGAAAUAUUUUUCAGACAUCAUUUACUUCAUAAAAAGCCACCAAAGAAAGGGGAAUGUGAAGAACUAAAAAAAUGCCACUCGUCCACCUAUAAAAACAAAACGUGGCAACAAAUAAAAAUAUUCAUU
This is a long non-coding RNA of Anoplophora glabripennis (Asian longhorned beetle), 394 nucleotides long. RefSeq lists it as uncharacterized. The record is from RefSeq and is a predicted model, not a curated record. NCBI's taxonomy places the organism in Eukaryota, Metazoa, Arthropoda, Insecta, Coleoptera, Cerambycidae. The transcript has 3 exons.